This 229-nucleotide ribosomal RNA is filed under the name uncultured bacterium. RNAcentral describes it as "partial 16S ribosomal RNA". It matches the Rfam family "Bacterial small subunit ribosomal RNA", at positions 568 to 796 of the family's 1533-position model. The record is from RNAcentral.
UGCGUAGGCGGUUUUGUAAGUCUGAUGUGAAAUUCCUGGGCUUAACCUGGGGUGGUCAUCAGAAACUGCAAGACUAGAGUAUAGGAGAGGAGAGUGGAAUUUCCGGUGUAGCGGUGAAAUGCGUAGAUAUCGGAAGGAACACCAGUGGCGAAGGCGACUCUCUGGCCUAAUACUGACGCUGAGGCACGAAAGCGUGGGGAGCGAACAGGAUUAGAUACCCUGGUAGUCC